RNAcentral lists this long non-coding RNA (1490 nucleotides) under Prunus dulcis (almond). RNAcentral describes it as "sRNA ncRNA". The record is from RNAcentral. Lineage: Eukaryota; Viridiplantae; Streptophyta; Magnoliopsida; Rosales; Rosaceae.
UUAUAUUAAUAAAAGAAGGAUUCCACAAUAAGAUUAUCCCUCCACAAUGACCAAGGGCAUGGAUACAAAAGAAACCAUCAAAACCAAGCCUCUGAGCAAUAACCUCAGCUCUAACCCUAGAGGCUUUGGAAUCCAAAAUACAGAAAAUAUUCAAACUAGACGUACUAAUAUAAAAAAGGGCUUGCAAAAUAAAGCCAGGCCAACCACUGCCUUGACUAUUCCAGGAUAACAGCUUCAUGGAUUGGGGCUAUGGGUGUUACCAACCGAGGGUUUAGUCUCCCUCAGAUACUCUCCAUGCAUCUCAACACUUGGAGCAUAAUUCUCUUCCACUUCCACCUCAUCACGAGUUCUCUUCUUAGGACUCUUGUAAGCGAAACCAGUGAAGGCACUGCUGCCUUCUUGGGAAUGAACAGGGGCAAUCACAACAGCCCUACCCUUCCCCUUGCUAAUAUGGUCAGCUGGAGAAAACUUAACCCCAACAUCACGAGACCCACCUCCUUCAAUAAAUUUGAUUCCCUUAGCAACUUCUUUAAAAGUUCUCCCAUCCCUUUCUUGCAUUUUUGCUUUGCCUUUACAAUUAGCCACAACCGUCCACCCCGGGUCCUGCACCUCAGUGGGCACCUUCUCACCCUGGUCAGAAUUUUCCUCCGCAAAAUAGUCCACAUUUAUAGGCUGUGGGAACACCAGUAUAACAUCAUCAGCUAGUUUUUGUUGCUCUUCAAACUCAAGGACUCAGUCCCUAAGGAACACAUUAGAUUCGUUCUCUAAAAUUUCAACCUGCAUGGCCACAUAACUUUCCGGCUAAAGAGUGGGAAACCUUUCUCUUGUUACAUGAAUCCAAUUUUCAUUUCAUCCGGGAAAAGCCAUCAGAAAGCUUUUGUUUGAAAUUUUGACAAGGCAAAUGUGAUCGCGCUCCAUCUUCUGGCUACAAUAAAAACAGAUCGCAAAAAGGGCUUCAUAGCUAACAAAUAUUAUGGUUUCCUGGGGAUGCUCACCUAGAACUAGGCAUCUUUUUAGGGGCCUAGUUAGGUCUAACACAAGGUGAGCUCUAACAAACAUACUCUGUUUACCCUCCAUAGACUGCAGGUCCACACUAAUAGGAUCCCAAGGAUAGAGACCAAAUCAUGGAGAACCUCAGGGUCUUUGUAAUGGAGGGGCAGAAAGGGAAUUCUGACCCAGCCCACAAUGGAUGUCACAACAGCAUGGAAGGGUGAGAAAUCUGGGGUCCAGCGCUCCAGGACAAAAAUCUGACCUUGGACAAACCAGGGUCUGUUAUCCAAAACGAAAGAAACAUCAGCUUCAGCAUUGAACUCCACCUUAUACCGACCAAUAUGGUCAAUAGAGACCUCACCCUGCAGGUUCUUCCACUCACUCUUGAGCCUAUGCCUGAUAACUCUGCUAUUCACAGGAACUCCAAAGACUUUCCCCACCAAGCAGAAAGUCUCAUUGAGUUUGGACACUAGACGCAAGAGCAGAGGUGGAGACUUUGG